Carassius carassius (crucian carp) is the source of this 390-nucleotide long non-coding RNA. RefSeq lists it as uncharacterized. NCBI's taxonomy places the organism in Eukaryota, Metazoa, Chordata, Actinopteri, Cypriniformes, Cyprinidae. The record is from RefSeq and is a predicted model, not a curated record. The transcript has 4 exons.
AUACUAUUCUCAGAAUGAAAUGUACACAUUCGUUCGAGGUUCGAGGAGCAAUACUUUAGUUAACGUUAGCAAGAUCUCGGUCAUUUACGGGAUCCCAUUAGCAGUGACUAAACACAAAGACGAUGACACAGCUGGCAGACUCUAUUCUACACAGCGGUUACUUUCACCCCACUCUGUGAUACUGGCAGACCUCUGCUUCAGACCUUAUACCAGAUAACCUCAUAUAUCCUAUCUUCAUUACUGACAGUCCUGAUGCAGUGGAACCAAUUGCAAGUCUACCUGGUCAAGCGAGUUAUGGUGUAAAUAAGAUAGAGGGUUUACUUCGUCUCCUUGUAGACAAAGGUCUGAAGUGUGUGCUGAUUUUUGGAGUUCCUGCUAAAGUUGCGAAGG